AGGGCAUCUGCAGUGGGAAGGGGACAGAGCAGAGGGGACUCAGCUCAGUUCCUCCUCUGCAUCCAAAGAAAUCCCAGCUCCAGGUCUCCCUCUGGCACUUACUCCCUUCCGAACCAGGCGCUCGGAAUCCCGGGUCAGAGCAACAGCAUGGCUGGGGAAGGACAGGAGAGAUGAAACUGGGAGAUGAAGCUGAACAAUAUUGCACCUCAGGAGGAGACCCUGCUGCUGCACUGUCAAAGGACAAGCCUAAAAAUCUCCUGCUCCCAAAAAGGCCAAAGUUAUGGAAAACAGGGACUGUGGAAAAGGACUCACGUGGCAGCGCGUUCCACCAGCGUCUCAGUGAGCCGCAGGAGGUGCGUGGAGAUGAUGGAGAGGGAAUUCUUCAUGAACAGCUUCAGGUCAGUCACAACCUGUGGGAGAUUGGCCACAGCCAGGCCAAGCACAAUGGGACAGAUUUAGUGACCAAAUAAUGCUCAGCAGAACUCCCUGGCACUGUUAUCCCCUCCUAGUUCUGGGUGAUGGGAAGGGAAAUCCUCCUCAUAUGGAAUGCAUCCCUGGUCACUGAUUUGUGAAAGCUGCUGUUGCUUUCCACAGACAAAACCAAAAUCCAUUUUUUUCAGGGGACUUCUCAGGUAUUGUCAAGUUUGAAGCAGAAAAUUCCCAACCAACAAAAGUUGAUCAUCCUGAGGAGGACUGAUCCUGAAUGAUGUGUGGCUCCCAGUGAGCAGAAUCAGUGGUUCUGGAGCUUUUCAGAGAUGUCAGUGGAAUUUUGUGGCCUUUUACCACCAGGAAGCAGCCCUACACAUCCCACUCCCCUGGAUGGAUGAGCCACUGCAGCAUCAUUAGUUUAAAGCCAUCAUUAAUUUAAAGGGAAUACAGGCUAGAGUGUGCCAGGGCAUGAGAAGGAUUGCAUAAAAAUAUUCAAUUAAAGAACUGAGGAGGAGGAAUACAGAGGGAGAAAAAAAGGUUCUGUCUGUACCUGAUCAUUCCUGCUUCUGCCAGUGUGCAACUUCCCAGCUACAUCUCCAAUCAGCUCCUGAGGACAAGAGCAGGAUUGCUGUCAGGAUCUCUGUGCUCUAAGCAGGACAAUCCACAUGAGCAGAUCUCCCUGCCUGGGAGGGACUCAGCUCCAGGAUCCAGGGAGUAGCCAUGGGAUGUGUUCUGGGGAGGGCAGGUUUGGGUUCUGGGCUUGUACAGUGCCACAAAAAGGGGCUUGGGCACCCUUGGCUGUGCCCCAGGGGGUUCAGUGCCACGAGCUCUAAAGGAAUUUCACAGAGGGACAGAGGCACAAGCCCUCAGUGUCAGGCAGACGAUCAGGACCAAGAGGUUAGAGGAGCCAAACCUUUAGUCUGCGCUCGUUGGCAGUGUGGAUAUCCUCAUCAGUUUGUUUCAGCACAAAUACUCCUUUGGACCAUUCCUCAGAGAUCUGCAAACACCAGAAGAACCAGUCAGCCACGAUGGUGAUUAAAUCCAAGGAGGCUGCUCUCAGGUCAGGAGAGAAUCAUUCACCUGACAGUUUGAAAAGGAAAGAAAUACCUUUUCCAGGCCACUCAGGAUCUUCUCCAGCUCAGUUUUAGACAGGAUCCCAGACUUCUCCAAGGCUUUGGCAUAAGCCAUGCUCCCCUGGAUGUCGACUUCAGACAGUCUCUGGUCAUAACUAAUGGAAGCAUUGAGCAUCUCCAUGAUUGGAUCUGUGCUUCCACUGAAUCUUCCACCCCAAAGUUUAUUCCCCUGAGAGAGAAAACAGUGAAUUAAAGUGGCCUAAUAACUUCAGAUAAAUCCUAUGCAGGAUAUAACAUCCAGUGAUGCAUUUAUGGGGGCCAGCACAGAAACAAAAGUGGGGUUUUCCCACCCAAACCAGGAUUCCUGUGGUGACCUCACCCCCUGGAAUGUGUCACCCAUUUCAGUGGGUGACCAAAGGCUUGUGCAGGGCUCCAGCUGUGCCCCACAGCAGGGCGUGUGUCGUGUGGGAGCUUCUCCAGCAGUGACUCAGAGCCUGGGUGGCCUCACCUGAGCUGUGUCACCUGCUCAGGAGCUUUUUGCUUGCCCAGGUAAGACAACCCCUGAAGUUUUAAUUCUGCCAGACUUACACUGAAACCCAAGAUUUCAAAAGCAACUCUCCAGUGCUACCAGGCACAGAAAGGAAUUGGAGGACUCCUGAAGGAAGGGACAAAAUAGAGCAGCACUGCAGAGUGGAUAAUAAUUACUAAUCUACUUUUUAAACACCCCAACAAGUUUCUUCUCAUGCUGGUCACUAUAACUACCAUGGACAGCAAGAGCUGGCAGGACAGCUGGAAGCUGAUCUGUGCCAGGGCUUUACCAGUCAGACAAAACACUGUUGAGUAACCUUAAAGAUGUUUUCCCUGGUGACUGUCUCCAUGUCCCUGAGCCUGAAAGGACAACAGGAGAGUGCCUGCAGAGAUAAGGGGCAGCCAUGUGUGGAAGGCAGCUUUGUUAGAAAGCUGAAGGAAGGCAGAGAGAGGAAUCAGAAUCUAAAAAGAAGUGUUAGAGCUCCUCAGCACUCAUUUGGUGCCCCCAGGAGCAAAAUUAAUGCUAAAUUAAAGGCCAUUCCAGAGGCUCAGCACUUGAGUGGGGAACAGGAAUAUCCAGGUACAACUUCAGUACUUAAAGCUUUCCAUCAAAGCAAGAAGUGUGUCAGCAAAAA
Long non-coding RNA from Corvus hawaiiensis (hawaiian crow), 2665 nucleotides. RefSeq lists it as uncharacterized. The record is from RefSeq and is a predicted model, not a curated record. The transcript has 3 exons. Lineage: Eukaryota; Metazoa; Chordata; Aves; Passeriformes; Corvidae.